UACGUAGGCAGCAAGCGUUGUUCGGAAUUACUGGGCGUAAAGAGUGUGUAGGCGGUUCUCCAAGUCUGUUGUGAAAUCUCCCGGCUUAACUGGGAGGGUGCAUUAGAAACUGGAAUGCUAGAGGAUGGGAGAGGUAAGCGGAAUUCCUGGUGUAGCGGUGAAAUGCGUAGAUAUCAGGAGGAACACCGGUGGUGUAGGCGGCUUUCUGGACCGUAACUGACGCUGAGACACGAAAGCGUGGGUAGCAAACAGG
Molecule: ribosomal RNA, 253 nt
Filed under: uncultured bacterium
Lineage: Bacteria
Description: partial 16S ribosomal RNA
Rfam family: Bacterial small subunit ribosomal RNA
Source: RNAcentral